GACGAACGCUGGCGGCGUGCUUAACACAUGCAAGUCGAGCGGUAAGGCCCUUUCGGGGGUACGACGAGCGGCGAACGGGUGAGUAACACGUGGGUGACCUGCCCUCAGCUCUGGGAUAAGCCUGGGAAACCGGGUCUAAUACUGGAUAUGACUCCAUGACGCAUGCUGUGGGGUGGAAAGCCUUGUGCGGCUGAGGAUGGGCCCGCGGCCUAUCAGCUUGUUGGUGGGGUGAUGGCCUACCAAGGCGACGACGGGUAGCCGGCCUGAGAGGGCGACCGGCCACACUGGGACUGAGACACGGCCCAGACUCCUACGGGAGGCAGCAGUGGGGAAUCUUGCGCAAUGGGCGAAAGCCUGACGCAGCGACGCCGCGUGAGGGAUGACGGCCU
RNAcentral lists this ribosomal RNA (389 nucleotides) under uncultured bacterium. Its description in RNAcentral is "bacterial SSU rRNA". It matches the Rfam family "Bacterial small subunit ribosomal RNA", at positions 28 to 417 of the family's 1533-position model. The record is from RNAcentral.